AAUUUUCGGCAAUGGGGGUAACCCUGACCGAGCGACGCCGCGUGAGUGAAGAAGGUCUUAGGUUUGUAAAGAUCUGUUGUAAGGGAAGAACCGUACCAGUAGGGAAUGACUGGUAUCUGUCGGUACCUUAACAGCAAGUCACGGCUCACUACGUGCCAGCAGCAGCGGUAAUACGUAGGUGGCAAGCGUUAUCCGGAAUUAUUGGGCGUAAAGGGAGCGCAGGCGGCUUAUUAAGUCUGAGGUUAAAGUUCGGGGCUCAACCCCGUGAUGCCUUAGAAACUGGUAGGCUAGAGUGCAGGAGAGGUGAGUGGAAUUCCAUGUGUAGCGGUAAAAUGCGUAGAUAUAUGGAGGAACACCAGUGGCGAAGGCGGCUCACUGGCCUGUAACUGACGCUGAGGCUCGAAAGCGUGGGGAGCAAAUAG
This 422-nucleotide ribosomal RNA is filed under the name uncultured bacterium. RNAcentral describes it as "partial 16S ribosomal RNA". It matches the Rfam family "Bacterial small subunit ribosomal RNA", at positions 360 to 775 of the family's 1533-position model. The record is from RNAcentral.